CUUGAACCUUAUAAGAGGUCCAGCCUGCCCAGUGACUCUGUUCAACGGCCGCGGUAUCCUAACCGUGCGAAGGUAGCGUAAUCACUUGUUCUUUAAAUGUGGACUAGUAUGAAUGGCACUACGAGGGUUAUACUGUCUCCUUUUUCUAAUCAGUGAAACUAAUUUUCCCGUGAAGAAGCGGGAAUACAACUAUAAGACGAGAAGACCCUAUGGAGCUUUAAACAACCUAGCAAUUACUUCUAAAAUUAUAAAUUUCAGAAUACUCAUUCUUUAAGCAAUAUGUCUGCAAGUUUUUGGUUGGGGUGACCAUGGAGAAUAACACAACCUCCAUAUUGAAUGAAUUUUUAUUCUAAGCUAAGAAUUACUAAUUAAAGCAUCAACACACUGACAUUUAUUGACCCA
RNAcentral lists this ribosomal RNA (402 nucleotides) under Rhinella castaneotica (Para toad). Its description in RNAcentral is "partial 16S ribosomal RNA". It matches the Rfam family "Bacterial large subunit ribosomal RNA", at positions 1835 to 2422 of the family's 2925-position model. Lineage: Eukaryota; Metazoa; Chordata; Amphibia; Anura; Bufonidae. The record is from RNAcentral.